UCCCUGGUGGUCUGGUGGUUAGGACUCAGCACUUUCACUGCUGUGGCCUGGGUCCAAUCUCUGGUUUGGGAA
Molecule: transfer RNA, 72 nt
Filed under: Sus scrofa (pig)
Lineage: Eukaryota; Metazoa; Chordata; Mammalia; Artiodactyla; Suidae
Rfam family: tRNA
About the family: Transfer RNA (tRNA) molecules are approximately 80 nucleotides in length.
Source: Rfam by way of RNAcentral